Molecule: ribosomal RNA, 465 nt
Filed under: uncultured bacterium
Lineage: Bacteria
Description: partial 16S ribosomal RNA
Rfam family: Bacterial small subunit ribosomal RNA
Source: RNAcentral
GAUGAACGCUGGCGGCGUGCUUAACACAUGCAAGUCGAACGGAAAGGCUCCUGUUUGCAGGGGUACUCGAGUGGCGAACGGGUGAGUAACACGUGGGUGAUCUGCCCUGCACUUCGGGAUAAGCCUGGGAAACUGGGUCUAAUACCGGAUAGGACCACAUUUUGGAUGGUGUGGUGGAAAGUUUUUCGGUGUGGGAUGAGCUCGCGGCCUAUCAGCUUGUUGGUGGGGUAAUGGCCUACCAAGGCGUCGACGGGUAGCCGGCCUGAGAGGGUGUACGGCCACAUUGGGACUGAGAUACGGCCCAGACUCCUACGGGAGGCAGCAGUGGGGAAUAUUGCACAAUGGGCGCAAGCCUGAUGCAGCGACGCCGCGUGGGGGAUGACGGCCUUCGGGUUGUAAACUCCUUUCGCUAGGGACGAAGCGCAAGUGACGGUACCUGGAGAAGAAGCACCGGCUAACUACGUG